RNAcentral lists this ribosomal RNA (253 nucleotides) under uncultured bacterium. Its description in RNAcentral is "partial 16S ribosomal RNA". It matches the Rfam family "Bacterial small subunit ribosomal RNA", at positions 524 to 776 of the family's 1533-position model. The record is from RNAcentral.
UACGAAGGGGGCUAGCGUUGCUCGGAAUCACUGGGCGUAAAGCGCACGUAGGCGGCUUUUUAAGUCAGGGGUGAAAUCCUGGAGCUCAACUCCAGAACUGCCUUUGAUACUGAGAAGCUUGAGUCCGGGAGAGGUGAGUGGAACUGCGAGUGUAGAGGUGAAAUUCGUAGAUAUUCGCAAGAACACCAGUGGCGAAGGCGGCUCACUGGCCCGAUACUGACGCUGAUGCACGAAAGCGUGGGGAGCAAACAGG